Molecule: ribosomal RNA, 477 nt
Filed under: uncultured bacterium
Lineage: Bacteria
Description: partial 16S ribosomal RNA
Rfam family: Bacterial small subunit ribosomal RNA
Source: RNAcentral
GACGAACGCUGGCGGCGUGCUUAACACAUGCAAGUCGAACGGUGAAGCGCCUUCCUUUUUGGUGGGUGUGGAUGAGUGGCGAACGGGUGAGUAACAGGUGAGUAACCUUCCCCCUUCUUCUGGCUAGCCGCAUGAAAGUGUGGCUAAGACGGGAUAUUCUGCGUCUGUCGCAUGAUGGGUCUGGGUAGGAUAUUGGUUCGGUUGGGGAUGGGCUCGCGGCCUAUCAGCUUGUUGGUGGGGUGAUGGCCUACCAAGGCGGGGACGGGUAGCCGGCCUGAGAGGGUGGGAGGCCAGGCCCAGACUGGGACGAGACGCAGCCGUGGGGAAUAUGGAACAAUGGGGGAUAGUGUAAUGCAGGGAGGCCGCGUGAGGGAUGGAGGCGUGCGGGGUGUGAACCUCUUUCGCUAGUGAAGCAGUCCUGCCUGGUUUGUGGGGGGAUUGACGGUAGCUGGAUAAGAAGCGCCGGCUAACUACGUG